This 626-nucleotide long non-coding RNA is filed under the name Chinchilla lanigera (long-tailed chinchilla). RNAcentral describes it as "lncRNA (ENSCLAG00000024623.1)". Lineage: Eukaryota; Metazoa; Chordata; Mammalia; Rodentia; Chinchillidae. The record is from RNAcentral.
GUCAGGGUGAGGUCACACUGGUAUAGGGUGGGCCUUAGUCCAGUAUUUCUGUUGUCCUUUGAAAAAUAAUGCCAUGCGGAGAUGAGGACACACAUUUAAGGCAGACACUGGGUGAAGCAUCUACAAGCCGGGGAACACGGAGUGUAACCUGCAGGCACCAGAAGCUGGACAGAUGCCAGGAAUAGAUUCUUCCUCAGAGGGAGCCCGCCCUGCUGACUCCUGGAUUUUGUAUUUGGCCGUGGUCUCUGGGCCUGUGCAGAAUGCGUUUUUAUGUUUCCUGCCCAGCUUGCUAUCCUUGGAGUGGCAGCCCCAGCUGGUAUUAUACCAGUGUCCAGUGUCUCUGACAAUAGCCACACACCUGUCCUAACAGCAGCAUUCAUGAGGGAGCUGCAUCUAAGUCGCCUGAGGCCUGGGCACCCUGGUGAGGGCUGCAGGAUGCUCGUCUUCCCCGGUGUGCUCCUGUCCACUAGCACGCCCACAACGGACAGUGUCCUCCCGUCGCCCUGGGGUGUGCUCAAGGGCCUGGGUGGCAGUGCCCUCCAUACUGCCAGUGAGGGGCGUGAUAAGAGAGCUAAGUGGAACCAUCGCCUGCGACAGACGACAGCGAGAAGACACACACCCCUGAA